Molecule: ribosomal RNA, 665 nt
Filed under: Methanospirillum sp. enrichment culture clone AD_Archaea_16
Lineage: Archaea; Methanobacteriati; Methanobacteriota; Methanomicrobia; Methanomicrobiales; Methanospirillaceae
Description: bacterial SSU rRNA
Rfam family: Archaeal small subunit ribosomal RNA
Source: RNAcentral
GGACAACCUGCCCUGAGAACGGGUAUAAACCCGGGAAACUGGGUAUAAUACCCGAUAGUCCUCGAAAGCUGGAAUGCAUCGAGGACGAAAGCUCCGGCGCCUUAGGAUGGGUCUGCGGCCUAUCAGGUAGUAGUGGGUGUAACGUACCUACUAGCCUACGACGGGUACGGGUUGUGAGAGCAAGAGCCCGGAGAUGGAUUCUGAGACACGAAUCCAGGCCCUACGGGGUGCAGCAGGCGCGAAAACUUUACAAUGCUGGCAACAGCGAUAAGGGGACCUCGAGUGCCAGGUUACAAAUCUGGCUGUCGCGAUGCCUAAAAAGCAUUACAUAGCAAGGGCCGGGCAAGACCGGUGCCAGCCGCCGCGGUAACACCGGCGGCUCGAGUGGUAACCGUUAUUAUUGGGUCUAAAGGGUCUGUAGCCGGCCGGAUAAGUCUCUUGGGAAAUCCAGCAGCCUAACUGUUGGGCUUUCAGGAGAUACUGUCUGGCUCGAGGCCGGGAGAGGUGAGAGGUACUUCAGGGGUAGGGGUGAAAUCUUGUAAUCCUUGAAGGACCACCAGUGGCGAAGGCGUCUCACCAGAACGGACCUGACGGCAAGGGACGAAAGCUAGGGGCACGAACCGGAUUAGAUACCCGGGUAGUCCUAGCUGUAAAGUAUGCGGGCC